This 441-nucleotide ribosomal RNA is filed under the name uncultured bacterium. RNAcentral's name for it is "partial 16S ribosomal RNA". It matches the Rfam family "Bacterial small subunit ribosomal RNA", at positions 338 to 795 of the family's 1533-position model. The record is from RNAcentral.
CCUACGGGUGGCUGCAGUGGGGAAUAUUGCACAAUGGGGGAAACCCUGAUGCAGCGACGCCGCGUGAGUGAAGAAGUAUUUCGGUAUGUAAAGCUCUAUCAGCAGGGAAGAAGAAAGACGGUACCUGACUAAGAAGCCACGGCUAACUACGUGCCAGCAGCCGCGGUAAUACGUAGGGGGCAAGCGUUAUCCGGAUUUACUGGGUGUAAAGGGAGCGUAGACGGCUGUGCAAGUCUGAAGUGAAAGCCCAGGGCUCAACCCUGGGACUGCUUUGGAAACUGUGGAGCUAGAGUGCUGGAGAGGUAAGUGGAAUUCCUAGUGUAGCGGCGAAAUGCGUAGAUAUUAGGAGGAACACCAGUGGCGAAGGCGACUAUCUGGCACAUAACUGACGCUGAGGAGCGAAAGCGUGGGUAGCAAACAGGAUUAGAUACCCUAGUAGUC